CCUACGGGAGGCAGCAGUGGGGAAUAUUGCACAAUGGGGGAAACCCUGAUGCAGCGACGCCGCGUGAGUGAAGAAGUAAUUCGUUAUGUAAAGCUCUAUCAGCAGGGAAGAAAAUGACGGUACCUGAGUAAGAAGCCUCGGCUAACUACGUGCCAGCAGCCGCGGCAAUACGUAGGGGGCAAGCGUUAUCCGGAUUUACGGGGUGUAAAGGGAGCGUAGACGGCAGUGUAAGUCUGGAGUGAAAGGCGGGGGCUCAACCCCCGGACUGCUCUGGAAACUGUACGGCUGGAGUGCAGGAGAGGUAAGUGGAAUUCCUAGUGUAGCGGUGAAAUGCGUAGAUAUUAGGAGGAACACCAGUGGCGAAGGCGGCUUACUGGACUGUAACUGACGUUGAGGCUCGAAAGCGUGGGGAGCAAACAGGAUUAGAUACCCGAGUAGUC
Molecule: ribosomal RNA, 440 nt
Filed under: uncultured bacterium
Lineage: Bacteria
Description: partial 16S ribosomal RNA
Rfam family: Bacterial small subunit ribosomal RNA
Source: RNAcentral